UAUUUAAUGUAAAUUAACUGCUUGCCCUGCAUUAAAGACUUGUAAAUGCACAACGCUGAGGCAAAGAACCCCAAACCCCAUUUAAAAUCCUUUAAUGCACAGCAAGUCAUUGAUUAUCCCACUUAUUCCAUGGUCAUUUGCCAAGUUAUAGACAAGUUAAAACUAGUUUUGCUCUUUGUAGCUUAAAAUUUGAUAGAAUGGGUAAAAAUAACAGUUAUUUCCAGGAGCUCCUCUUUUUUGUAAACAACUGAUCUGUCUUUUAUAAAUCUGAUAUAAAAGACUCUUCUGAGAUUUGAAGGAUGCACACUACUAUUCGAUAGGUAGGCUACUCAAGUUUAACCAAACUGUUUGUGGACCCCGUUUACUUCCAUAGUAUUACUUUUCCAAUUCCUGCUAUAGAAGUGAAUGGGAUCCAAAGACAUUUAUGCAGGUUUGUAACAACAUGAGGGUGAGUAAAUGAUGACAGAGUUUUCAUUUUUGGGUGAACUAUUUAACCUUUUACAGCUUAGCAGAAAAAUGUUAUGUGACCUUUAAGAAUAGGAUAAAGUACAUCUUUAACAAAAGCAAAGAUUAAAAAACAAAUUGUAGAAUAAAUAGAAAGUGCUACACAAGUGUAAAACAAUACAAAAUCGUCCCACUAUCACAUGCAGAUGUGUCACUUUGCAAUGGGGCAAUGAUGAAUAGUACACAGAACAACCAAAUAAGUUUUUACGAUUUAUAAACAAUUUAAAGAUAUUUUAAAGUGUUCUGUACUGUUCUAAUUCCAGAGAUGUUUAUUUAUGUAAAUGGUGUGAGGCUUUACCAUGUAUAUAAUAGGCCAAUGGCUAUGCUGUGCACGCGAAACAUGUCCUGCCCCUUUAAAUCACGAAGGGAGUUACCAUGGAAACUGAAGGAGCACGAGGACAGCUAGCUCCGUCUCCCGCGGUUUCUUCGCUGUUUUCAAGAGUGACAAAAACCCUCUAUAAUAGAAGAGAAGCUCAAGAUUUCAACAUUUUCUGAAGGGAGUUGCAGACAGGUGUAGAAAACUGCUUUUCAAAUUUUCCACAUUUAUCACAGUUAUUUUAAGAUGUUGACAUCUAAACAUUUGUCCAUGCUAAUGGCCGAGCAGUAGGGUUGGAACAGACCUGUCAGAAAACAUCUCUGAACCAUAUGACUAAUUUCAAAACAAUUUAUUCUUGAGAGGAGGCACCACAGUUAAAGACAGUGUUUUGAAGAAUUUUGAACUUCCUGCUCACAAACUACAUACUUAUCCAGUUAGUCUGACAGGCUAUCAAUGAGAAUGCGGCAUUACAGGACACCACUGAAAACUAUACCACUAAAAACUGAUUAUUGCUGCAGUCAGAAGAAACAGAUUAACAGCAACUAUCUGCUUGAGACCAAGAGAUUGAGCACUGGGUUAAGACAUGGUUGCAGCUUGCCACAGACAGAGAUGAAGGUCGUUGGGCAAAAGAGAAGAUUUAAAGGCAUAGCUCACCCAAAAAUGGAAACUCAUUUACUUACCAUCAAGAUGUUUCAAACUCUAUCAAAUGUAUUUGUUCAGUUACUGACUGUUAUAAAUUAUACAGGUUUGGAACAACCUUUGGGUGAGCAAAAUUACAGUUUUAAUUUUAAUUAGUGAACUAUCCCUAUUGUGAGUUUUAUAAGUUUAUUAAGAAAUGUUGAGUAUUAUAUCAGAGUUUUGUAUGUAAGGAGAUGGUAGUUGUACGUUUGUGUGUUAAUAUAGAUGGUUUCAGUGGCAACAACAUAAAUCACUUUCAUGGCCCAAACUUAACUUCGGGUAGACCUCCACAUAGAUUCAAUAACAACCGAGUAUCUCUGGAGCAGUUUUUUUUCUGAUAACAAACAAAAUAAAUAACCAGUAAAUAGCCUUAGAUCAAAUCAUAGCUAAAGCAUUUCAACCAUUACAUUGAUCUAAUGUUACUGGGUAAAAUUAAGCUUUACAAUUUUAGCUACAGAUCUUUGAAAAUGUUUGUACGGUAUACUGUCCAUUUCCAGAAAGGUAAUAAAAACAGCGUGCACAGUGACGCUGCUGACGUGUUAUCCUCAGACAUGUUUGUGAAGAUUGUUUUGUUUAUAGCGUGCGUCUCCCUCAGACUGUAAAAAAAGCUUGGGAACAAGAAAAAGCUUGGGCAAACAAGAUAACAUGUCAGCAGCGUCACUCCAGUGUUGUGCACGAGGUUCACAACAGACCUGGAAGAGAAGACGAUGCUGAAUAAAGUCAUAAUUUCUGUUAUUUUUGGACCAAAAUUUAUUUUCGAUGCUUCAACACAUUCUAACUGACCCACUGAUAUCACAUGGACUACUUUGAUGAUGUACAGUAUAUAUUUGAUCGUGUAUACACAUAUCUAAAACAUCUUAAACUGUUUCCGAAGAUGAACGGAGGUGUUACGGGUUUGGAAUGACAUGAGGGUCAUUAAUUACAUAAUUAUCAUUUUGGAUGAAAUAACCCUUUAAGUUUGGCCAGGUGUGUAACUGUGGCAACGCACAUGCAUCUAUG
This is a long non-coding RNA of Paramisgurnus dabryanus, 2497 nucleotides long. RefSeq lists it as uncharacterized. The record is from RefSeq and is a predicted model, not a curated record. Lineage: Eukaryota; Metazoa; Chordata; Actinopteri; Cypriniformes; Cobitidae.